AAGCACAAAGGGGACCCGAAGGUCCCCUUUAAUUUGUCGUUGCGUGCUCUUUUUUUAUUAUUGAGGGGCGGUCUAUUGUUGUUUUUGGCAACCGUUACCCUUUACCGCUGUUUUUGGCGACCCCCAUCCGGGGUCAAGAGCAAACGUAUUUUUUUGAGCGCUGACCUGCUUCUUCGUUAACGAUCCAACCAGUGGGUAGCUACCUGAGGUAGUU
This 214-nucleotide non-coding RNA is filed under the name Pseudomonas poae. RNAcentral also lists the same sequence under 1 other name. The record is from RNAcentral. Lineage: Bacteria; Pseudomonadati; Pseudomonadota; Gammaproteobacteria; Pseudomonadales; Pseudomonadaceae.